AGGCACAUUGUCCUUCCUCAGAGACGCCGUAAGCACUCUCUCUCGCCCCCAAGAUGAAGCUGAUUUCAAUGUUGAUGGCCCUGGUUGUGGCCCUCUCUGGCCUCCUUGGUUCAGCUCGUGCCAUGCCUGACCCCUACCCAGUGGCUGACCCCGUGGCCGACCCCUGGUUCUUUAGACGCAGGCACUACUACCCACACUACCACCACUACCCCCACCAUCACCACUACCACCAUUGGUGAAAACGAGGAUUCUCUCCUCUCUAAAGGAUCCCAAAAAUAUAACGAAUCAUAUUUCCUUCGCGCGAAUUUGUAUACCAAUUCAGAAUUUGUAUUUUCGGUCAUCUUCGUACGAAAAUAAAACCCUAAAAGAGA
This is a long non-coding RNA of Penaeus vannamei (Pacific white shrimp), 371 nucleotides long. RefSeq lists it as uncharacterized. The record is from RefSeq and is a predicted model, not a curated record. NCBI's taxonomy places the organism in Eukaryota, Metazoa, Arthropoda, Malacostraca, Decapoda, Penaeidae.